This is a transfer RNA of Gaeumannomyces graminis, 81 nucleotides long. It matches the Rfam family "tRNA". Rfam says of the family: Transfer RNA (tRNA) molecules are approximately 80 nucleotides in length. Their secondary structure includes four short double-helical elements and three loops (D, anti-codon, and T loops). NCBI's taxonomy places the organism in Eukaryota, Fungi, Ascomycota, Sordariomycetes, Magnaporthales, Magnaporthaceae. The record is from Rfam.
GGCAAGUUGUCCGAGAGGUUAUGGAGUAGGAUUUAGGCUCCUAUGGUUCACACCGCGUGGGUUCGAAUCCCACACUUGUCA